RNAcentral lists this ribosomal RNA (305 nucleotides) under uncultured bacterium. RNAcentral's name for it is "bacterial SSU rRNA". It matches the Rfam family "Bacterial small subunit ribosomal RNA", at positions 338 to 660 of the family's 1533-position model. The record is from RNAcentral.
CCUACGGGGGGCAGCAGUGGGGGAUAUUGCACAAUGGGGGAAACCCUGAUGCAGCGACGCCGCGUGAGCGAUGAAGUAUUUCGGUAUGUAAAGCUCUAUCAGCAGGGAAGAAAAUGACGGUACCUGACUAAGAAGCCCCGGCUAACUACGUGCCAGCAGCCGCGGUAAUACGUAGGGGGCAAGCGUUAUCCGGAUUUACUGGGUGUAAAGGGAGCGUAGACGGCGGCGCAAGCCAGAUGUGAAAGCCCGGGGCUCAAACCCGGGACUGCAUUUGGAAAUGUGCCGCUAGAGUGUCGGAGAGUCAG